CUACGUAGGGGGCGAGCGUUGUCCGGAAUGAUUGGGCGUAAAGGGCGCGUAGGCGGCUUUGCAAGUCAGUAGUGGAAGUCCAUUUUUCAAGGAUGGAAGUGCUACAGAAACUGCGGAGCUUGAGUGCAGGAGAGGUUAUCGGAAUUCCCGGUGUAGCGGUGAAAUGCGUAGAGAUCGGGAGGAACACCAGUGGCGAAGGCGGGUAACUGGACUGCAACUGACGCUGAGGCGCGAAAGUGUGGGGAGCAAACAGGAUUAGAUACCCUGGUAGUCCACACUGUAAACGAUGAAUGCUAGGUGUAGGAGGUAUCGACCCCUUCUGUGCCGCAGUAAACACAGUAAGCAUUCCGCCUGGGGAGUACGGUCGCAAGAUUAAAACUCAAAGGAAUUGACGGGG
Molecule: ribosomal RNA, 397 nt
Filed under: uncultured bacterium
Lineage: Bacteria
Description: partial 16S ribosomal RNA
Rfam family: Bacterial small subunit ribosomal RNA
Source: RNAcentral